GCUAAUAUAACCACGAAACCGAUAGCGAACAAGUACCGUGAGGGAAAGUUGAAAAGUACUCUGAAUAGAGAGUUAAAUAGUACGUGAAACCGCUUAGGGGUUAAGCCCGAUGAACCCGAAUAUCUGAUGUGAGAAAUUCAAUACUGUUUAUUUAAUAUUAAUGCGAUAGUAUGCACUUUUCUCAUAGUAGGACAUUGUAAUCCAUUGAUAUUAUAUCAUUUUCACAUUAUAUGGGAAAUGAUGAUUUAACAUACGAACAAAAUGCAUAAGUUUAUUCUAUCAGUGAUAUGUUUUCAUGUCAUAUGAAUAAGAUCGUUUUGUAUCUGUUUAAAAUAGUCGAUGGAUUUUAAACUGAAUCAUGCUUGCAAUUUAUUUUGCGUUUCGUAUUAUUGGCUAUUUAAUUGGUUGAUAAUAGCAGAAAUGGCAUGCAUUCGAUUAACAAUGCGAUAGAUUUGGGAUGCCUUCGGGACCCGUCUUGA
Molecule: ribosomal RNA, 479 nt
Filed under: Asphondylia nepetae
Lineage: Eukaryota; Metazoa; Arthropoda; Insecta; Diptera; Cecidomyiidae
Description: eukaryotic LSU rRNA
Rfam family: Eukaryotic large subunit ribosomal RNA
Source: RNAcentral